Lactuca sativa (garden lettuce) is the source of this 105-nucleotide small nucleolar RNA. Lineage: Eukaryota; Viridiplantae; Streptophyta; Magnoliopsida; Asterales; Asteraceae. The record is from RefSeq and is a predicted model, not a curated record.
AGGUCGUGUUGAGGGAAAUUCUUUAGCAUUCCCGUAUAUCUCUCCAAAGCUUCAUAUAAAGAUUCACCAUCAUUUUGAUGGAAGUCUACUUUUCUUCUUGAGUUU